Long non-coding RNA from Sebastes umbrosus (honeycomb rockfish), 832 nucleotides. RefSeq lists it as uncharacterized. The record is from RefSeq and is a predicted model, not a curated record. Lineage: Eukaryota; Metazoa; Chordata; Actinopteri; Perciformes; Sebastidae. The transcript is spliced from 2 exons.
GGGAGAGAGAGAGAGAGAAAGAGAGAGAGAGAGGGGGAGGACUGGGGCAGGAGAGUUUCUGUAAAAGGGGCUGAAGUCCUGCUGCUGCGUCCUCCACUGCUGCUGCUGCUGCUAAGAAAAGUAGUCCUCCUCCACCUCCAGAUAUAUAAAUGCUGCCAAACCGUUUUAUAUCACGGAUGUAAAACAAACAGACAACGACACACCCAGCUGGUGAAGGUGUCCAGGACUCCGCCGGAGCCGGAGCAGCAGUGUGGGCGAGGCAGCCUGAACUCCGCUGGAGCUGGAGACCUCCAGAUGGGUCAGUCAGGCCGAGCAAAGGAGCGACCCGGCCGGCCGGCGGUCAUCAAGGAGUAUGUGCACCUAAAGCAGACAAAAGGAAGGAGAAGGACUGAGCGGGCUGUCCGUCACUCCAGGCUGUCUGGUUUGAACUCUCACGCUCUCUGGCUGACUCCCAGCGCUCCCUCACCCUUAGCCCAAAAUGGCUGACACACAGCAGUUCUUCACUGGCAAGCUUUAUGUUCCUGUACACAUGCUAAAGCUGCCAGCUGAAGAACUGCUCUGGUCAGCCCUGCCCCGGAUGACUCAAGAAGAGGAAGCGGAUGGGGGUUGCUGGGAAGAAGACUGAGGAAGGCGGUGUUUCACACGCUCAGUCAGACUGGACUUUAUAACCACCAUUGUUUAUAAUCCUGUUUUUAAUCACGUGUAAUGUAUAUUUUACUUUAGGUAAUACAGAAUGUUUAGUUGUGAUCGUUUUCUCACUUUCUCCCUGCUUACAUUUUGCCUAUGAUGUGUCUAUUUUUUCUUACAAUAAAGAACAAAAUAUUUUCUCAGA